AAAAAGCAAAAAAUAUUCCAGACAAUAAGCAUGUCUAAAAGACAUCGUAAAGACAUCAUAAAGACAUCAUUAAGACAUCAUAAAGAU
Molecule: long non-coding RNA, 87 nt
Organism: Trachymyrmex cornetzi
Lineage: Eukaryota; Metazoa; Arthropoda; Insecta; Hymenoptera; Formicidae
Exons: 3
Source: RefSeq, a predicted model, not a curated record